Larimichthys crocea (large yellow croaker) is the source of this 1186-nucleotide long non-coding RNA. RefSeq lists it as uncharacterized. The transcript has 4 exons. Lineage: Eukaryota; Metazoa; Chordata; Actinopteri; Sciaenidae. The record is from RefSeq and is a predicted model, not a curated record.
CCUCAUGCAGUGAAUGUAGUGGUGGUCUUGUUGUUCUGUAAUGGAUGGCUGCAUGCAGAGUGAUUUGUCGAUGUGAUCAGUUGAGAUGCAGGGUGGUUAUGUUGCAGGCAGCAGGCGCCUUCAUAUUAUCCUUUUAUUACAUUUUACCUGCUUCAUGUGAACAAAUCCACCCAGAGAUUCAACACACACUCAACAGCCACAUCUAGGACAUUAAGUGACAUAGGCUUACUGUCACCUUGAAUGAAUGGCAGCAGGUGCUGGCUGCUCCCCAGUCUGACCUGCAGGCUAUUAUCUGCUGCAUUACAAUGUGACUCUGUAAUGUCAGCCAACAAAAGCGCUCAUACUCACUCCCUUGCCUUUUACUUUUCCACUGUAACCUUCUUCACCGACCUUCUGCACCCACCCCAACACUUUCAUGCAGCGAGUUUAGUGUUACCUCCGGCCUAAUGAAUAGCUGUCCCCGUUGGUUUCAAGAGCAUCCAUCAUCUUCAGAGAAGCAGAGCAGGUUAGGACGGACUUCAAGCCCAGUAUGGACAUGAAGAAUGACUGCAGUGACUACUAACUCUUUAAACCUGCGUAUGGAUAUCUGCAGCAGGGGCUCUAUCUGACUGGUCCACCACCAGCCAAAGGCCAGAUGGGCUCAGCACGGCACUGUAAGACUGCAGGAAACAGUCCUGAACACACACUGGUGUGCAUGUAAAGCAGCUUAAGCAAGGUACUCCAGACGACCCUCUCCCCAGCAACAUUUUCAAGCUACCUUGGGGUCUCCUUUCAUUUGGACAUGCCUGGAAAACCUCCAAAGAAAGGCCCCCAGGAGGCAUCCUCUAAUCAGAUCUCAGCUGGUUCCUUUCAGCACGAAGGAGCAACAACUCUAUUCUGAGUUCCCUCCGGAUGUCCAAGCUUACCCUGUAUCUAUGGUUGAGCCUAUGGAGGAAGCUAAUUUCGACUGCUUGUAUUCGCAAAGCUCAUUCUCUCCUAGGUGAGGGGUUUAAACAAAGAUCGACUGGUAAAUCAAGCAAUCUGCCUGUCCAGCUCACAUUCCUUUUUACCAACACUUGCGAAGAUACCUAAACUCUUUUGUAUAGGGAAGAAACUAACUCCCAACCCAGAGGGCGCAAUCCACCAUUUUCCAGUAGAGAACCAUGACCUCAGACUUGGAGGUGCUGACCCUUAUCACGGCCACUUC